GAUGAACGCUGGCGGCGUGCCUAAUACAUGCAAGUCGAGCGAACAGAUAAGGAGCUUGCUCCUUUGACGUUAGCGGCGGACGGGUGAGUAACACGUGGGUAACCUACCUAUAAGACUGGGAUAACUUCGGGGAACCGGAGCUAAUACCGGAUAACAUUUGGAACCGCAUGGUUCUAAAGUGAAAGAUGGUUUUGCUAUCACUUAUAGAUGGACCCGCGCCGUAUUAGCUAGUUGGUAAGGUAACGGCUUACCAAGGCGACGAUACGUAGCCGACCUGAGAGGGUGAUCGGCCACACUGGAACUGAGACACGGUCCAGACUCCUACGGGAGGCAGCAGUAGGGAAUCUUCCGCAAUGGGCGAAAGCCUGACGGAGCAACGCCGCGUGAGUGAUGAAGGGUUUCGGCUCGUAAAACUCUGUUAUUAGGGAAGAACAAACGUGUAAGUAACUGUGCACGUCUUGACGGUACCUAAUCAGAAAGCCACGGCUAACUACGUG
This 497-nucleotide ribosomal RNA is filed under the name uncultured bacterium. Its description in RNAcentral is "partial 16S ribosomal RNA". It matches the Rfam family "Bacterial small subunit ribosomal RNA", at positions 28 to 507 of the family's 1533-position model. The record is from RNAcentral.